Long non-coding RNA from Oncorhynchus tshawytscha (Chinook salmon), 413 nucleotides. RefSeq lists it as uncharacterized. Lineage: Eukaryota; Metazoa; Chordata; Actinopteri; Salmoniformes; Salmonidae. The transcript is spliced from 3 exons. The record is from RefSeq and is a predicted model, not a curated record.
GCGGACGGGUCGUCGUUCGUCACCCUGCAUCACACAAAAAUGGACACGCGCACACACGCAGGCAGGCACAAACAGACAAAACAUGAAUCUUAGGAGUCGAUUCCUCGUGGAACUGAAUCUUGACACUCAGAAAUGGGAGUCGACACGGAGUCGAAUACAUUAUUUUGGAGUCGACUCUCCACCACUACAGCAUCGACGUUAACAGCUGAAAAAAAGUGGCAGAGAAAGGCAAGUGACAGCAGCCAAAUGAGAAGAAAAUGCAAGCUUUGCGAAGUGGAAUUGAGUGGACCACAAUGGGCCCGGUGUCUCGAAUGGUGCUCUGCGUGCGGUUGACCUGCUCCAGGAAGCUGAGCACGCCCCCAGGCUCGUUGGGAACACCGUGGUCAGGCCAGCUCAGGUACUGGUAGUGCCAG